AAAUAGGGAAUCCUUUCCCCAUUGCUUGUUUUAGCAUUCUCCCAUCUAUGUCUUAUCCUCAUUGACUCAUGAUAUCUUUGGGAACCAUUUAGCAGUUGAACCUCAAGUGACUGGACGCAGAACAGGUGAGCUGCCUAAGUUAGGAAACCAUCCCUGAAUGCUCAUCAUAGGUUAAGAGGAGAAAGUACAGGAGAGGUUGUUAGACUGCAGAAGGCAGGACUUUGUUGAUGAACACCUACUUGUAAGUGCAUGAGAUGGGUGCUUUCCUAUGUGCAGAGAGAUUUGCAGUGUCUAUAUGAAUGAUAGACAUACCAGUCCCUGACCCAUAUGAAACAUAAAGAAAAUAAUAAAUUCUACCACAAAUCAACCAAUAUUAAUUCAUUUUAACACAAAUCAACCAGUACCAAAAUAGAGCCAAGGAGUUGGAGGGGAUGAAGCAAAGAAGACAAAGUGCAAUCAAAUGCAUGCCCUAAUUCCUUCUUAUUACAUCAUUUUGACUAACUCUUUCUAACACUUUUGCAUUCACAUGAACACUCAUUGAACACCUACUUUGAGUUUGGCACCAUGACAAGAAAACAAACAAGUUAUGGACUUAGAAGAUAUAGACUUAUGGUGGAGACAGAGACAUGGAAUAAUAACCCAAAGUAGCUCAUCUUCCUAGAGGCC
This 666-nucleotide long non-coding RNA is filed under the name Homo sapiens (human). Its description in RNAcentral is "non-protein coding lnc-FZD1-2:5". The record is from RNAcentral. Lineage: Eukaryota; Metazoa; Chordata; Mammalia; Primates; Hominidae.